RNAcentral lists this ribosomal RNA (466 nucleotides) under uncultured bacterium. RNAcentral's name for it is "bacterial SSU rRNA". It matches the Rfam family "Bacterial small subunit ribosomal RNA", at positions 27 to 507 of the family's 1533-position model. The record is from RNAcentral.
GGACGAACGCUGGCGGCGUGCCUAACACAUGCAAGUCGAACGGAGUGUUCCUUCGGGGGACACUUAGUGGCGAACGGGUGAGUAACGCGUGAGGAACCUGCCUCUCAGUGGGGGACAACAGUUGGAAACGACUGCUAAUACCGCAUAAUGUUUUCGGACCGCAUGAUCUGGAAACCAAAGAUUUAUUGCUGAGAGAUGGCCUCGCGUCUGAUUAGCUAGUUGGUGGGGGUAAACGGCCCCACCAAGGCGACGAUCAGUAGCCGGACUGAGAGGUUGACCGGCCACAUUGGGACUGAGAUACGGCCCAGACUCCUACGGGAGGCAGCAGUGGGGAAUAUUGGGCAAUGGGCGCAAGCCUGACCCAGCAACGCCGCGUGAAGGAAGAAGGCCUUCGGGUUGUAAACUGUUGUCGCAAGGGAAGAAACAAAUGACGGUACCUUGUGAGAAAGCCACGGCUAACUACGUG